AGGCACUUGAGAAAAUAUUUACUAGCAUCCUUGUUGGAAAAUAACAUCUGGCAUAAGACCAUGUACCCCUGGCUGAUUUGUACCAACAAAUCUAUUAGUGCAAACCAGACAUAGUUCUUAAUUAAAAAAAAACACACUGAUAUAUAUCCACAUUUAAAUAGAGAGCUAUGGAAGCUUUCACCCCCCUAACCCUAAGUAGUCACAUGCUGAAGUUAACUGUGCUAGUUCUUCCUCACAACUUGGUAGGCUUGGAAGUGGAGUUGCUGAGAAAGUGGUUGCUGCUGGUUUGAGAUGCAUCGUAAGCAACCAGGAUAAGUGGUACCUAGAUCACUUGGAUGCUACAUGGGAAGGAUUUUACACGAAUGAACCACUGACAAAUAUCUAUAACCCGGAGCAGCAGAAAUUAGUACUUGGUGGUGAGGUAUGCAUGUGGGGUGAACACAUCGAUGCAUCAGACAUUCAGCAGACCAUUUGGCCACGUGCUGCAGCAGCUGCAGGUAUGAUCAGCUCAAUAUGUUUUGACCUAAUUUUGCCUGCAUUAAUAUUUUAGCAGAUCCAUUCUUAUAAAAUAGCUAAAUUAAGUGGACUAGCAGUCAGGACGUACUGUCAUAAGUACAUUCUUUUCUUGGGUUAUAGAGUAGCACAUAGAUCAUCAUAGGUUCACAUGGGACGCAAUAUCUGCAUCAAGGCAGUUGAUGUUCUCUUUCCAUACCCAGAACACAAGCGCUUGAUACUAUAAGCAAUGAAGUGAGCAGUAAUUGCUACCAACCUGUCAGAAUGGGGAUCUUUCAUAACCAAGUGCUCUGAUGUGAUUUGUUGUACGAGAGAAUUGGGAGUUGGGAGUUGGGAGACACGCAUCACACCGUAGCUACAAACUGAAAUAUUUAUUCUUCCUUAUUUUAAGCGAACAUGAAUGUAUAUGCAGACUACAAAAAGACUAGACAUGCCUGCAUAGUAUGAAAGGCAUAAUAAGUUAAGUCUAUCAGGUUUCUGAACACUCAUAAAUUACAUUUUAUUAACAAUGUAUAGUUUUGUUUUGAGUUCUCUCUUAAAAAAAGCGAAGUUAAAUAACCUGCAUGUCUGUAUCAAGUUGCCUUGUCUCACCACAUCACUUACUGAUUUUGAAGAGCGGUUAUGGACACCAAUUGAGAAGCUUGCGAAGGACACAAGAUCGGUCACUGCAAGAUUGGCACGCUUCAGGUGCUUGCUGAAUCAAAGAGGGGUUGCUGCUGCACCACUAGCUGGUUAUGGCCGCUCAGCACCAUCAGAACCAGGUUCCUGCCUAAGGCAGUAGAUAUUCAUAUCAGGCGCAUAUAUUAUUCAUAGAGGAGAAUAAAUAGAAUUCCAGGCAUCCAAUUUACUUCUCUGAGAAAUCAAAAAUAGCUCAGAUCAAUGUAAGGCGAACCCGCAGAAUGUCCUAUUUUCUAUAUAUCUGAUGCGGUGUAUUCAUUUGGAGAUAUCUGGCCCUGUUUUACUUUCAGUGUACGGUCAUGAAUAUCAAGAUUUGGUUCCAUACCACCAAUGAAACAAAAAUUCUUAGCAUCUGUUCUAAAGAAAAAAAUGCUCCAUCUUCUGUGCUAGUUGCCCAACACGCCCAGCAGAAGCUUAUGAGGGAGCUUGACUUCAUCAACGCUCAAUCCCCAGCACAAGAUGCCGCUAUCACAGCCUAUGUUGAUACGUAAGCGCAGGAUCUCCCAGAUCAUGGGAUCAAAGCGAUCAAGGCAGCGACCAAACUUGGGAACAAGAAGCUGUCCGCAGCCUUGGCAGCUGAUGCCGGAUUUGCCCGCGCCGCUAGACGACGACGAGUGCGUCUCGGACUUGCCGUGCUCGACGUUUCUUCUCCCGGACACGAUCUCGAACAGCGUCAUGCCGUAGCUGAACACGUCGGCUUUGGCGGUGAUCGCCUCGCCGCUGAUCCACUCUGGCGCGAGGUAGUACCCGAUGGUUCCGCGCACGGUGGUCAGGAUCAGGACGCGGCUGAAGUCUCUGCCGACGAGCUUGGCGAGCCCGAAGUCGGCCACCUUGGGCGCCAAGUCGGCGUCGAGGAGGAUGAUCUCCGGCUUGACGUCGCAGUGGAUGAUGCAGUCCGGCCCGGCACUUGUCGUGCAGGUAGGCGAGCCCCUUGGCGACGCCGAGCGCGCCAGCUGAGCGUGUAGAGCGUGGCGCCGAACAGGUGCCGGUCCAGCGAGCCGUUGGGCAUGUACUCGUAGACGAGCAGCUUCCGGCCGCCGCCCUCGGAGCAGAAGCCGAGCAGGUGGAUCAGAUUGACGUGCUGGAUGGUGCCCAGCGUGCUCACCUCCGCGCGGAACUGCUUUCUCGCCUUGCUGGAGCCCCUCCAGCUUCUUGACAGCUAGCGAUGGCAGUGCCGUCGGGGAGCUGACCCCGGAACACGUACGGAGCCGAAGGCGCCACCGCCGAGCUUGUCGGAGAAAUUCUUGGUCAGGGACUGGAGCUCCCUGUAUUUCAAGGUCGUAGCCACGCAUGCCUCGGCGGUGGUAAUCUUUUUCCGCCGUGCCAUCGUUGCCCGGACGAUGAGGAUGGACGCGGCGACGGCGAGCAAGAAGCAGACGACUGCGAGUGCGACGCCGAUGGCGAUCAUGUCAGCAUCCCCCAUCCUGGGCAUCCUCCAGGUCCAGAGUCUUCAAGGCCCAGAAGGGGAUCGCGGCCCAGGCGUCCAAACAACAAGGUCGCUGGGCCCAAAUACAGCCCACACUAGGACCUAUGUCUAUGUGCAACUGGAGCGGUUCUAUUUUUUUUUUAAUAUAGAAACAAGCCCAAACGGUUCUACGCUGCGCUUGGCCCCCCUGUUUCCUCUGCCGCCAACCGCCAACCGCUCGUUCCCCUUCGUCGCCGUCACCCGCACUACGAACCCUAGAUCGGUGUAGUUGCUCCUGCGCGUCCCUAUUCGAUGCCCCCCAUGGAGAUCGGAUCAACAGAUCAGCCGGUCUCUUCGAUUGUCCCUAGCUGGGUGGUCGUAGACCAGGAUAUCUACCGCAAGGCGCUUGCCUCCUUCCGCCCCGGCCACCUUACCUCCGCGAAGACCCGCGCCAGCAACGGCGAGGUCGUCCGCGUCUCUUUCACCGUGCGCCCGCUGCCGUGUGCCUCCCGCCUCUGCGUCCACUUUCCGAAGAGUCGUCGCAAGCUGUGCGGCUUCGACACCGUCGUGGCGGCGCACGGCAAAGCCGUGCUUUUCCGUCUCCGCAUCGACUUCAAAGGACUCCCCUCAUCGUGCUCCGCGAUCGACCACUUCAUCUUCUGGGCCAGCCCUGGCGGUUCCAGGAUCUCACUGCUCCCACGUUGGUACUCGACCGAGGAUGAGAUAGAGGCAGCUGAGGUGGGCUCCUGGAGGAGAAACCCUUAUAUGGCUCUAGGCCGCAGCGGCACUGGAUUGUUUAUCUCUGAUAGAGAAGAUUUCGUGGUGGCGGAGCUCCAUCUCGAUGUGGACAGGCUUGAAGACGUGGAUGCACCUCUGGAAGCACAGCUCUUCAGGCUCUGCUCCAGCAGGGAAAGAAUUGCUGCAGGUGGUGGCGAGUGGGAGGUUAAGCACGCAAGGGCCCGUGGGGGUAAGGCUAAUUAAGUUUGGUGACUUACUCUGCUGGUGGGAAGCUAGCAUGGUUAUCCCUUGCGGCAGUUACCUGUGUUGGGUUGAUUACUCAAGGGGUGUCAUUUUCUGUGACGUUAAUCACCCUUCCCCUCACCUCCAGUACGUCUCCUUGCCGGUGGAUCACAUUCCUUUUGGCUAUCCUGACCCAUUCAGCAGAGGAUUCCCACAGGCGUCCCGGGCUGUGUGCGUUACCAAGAAUGAAACGUUGAAGUUUGUCAAUAUUGCCCGCAGCGAUGGCAUGCUAUCUGGCAAGAGUGAGCCUGGUUCCAGUUUCACAAUCACCAUCUCGACGCUGCACGAUAGCUAUGAUGAUAUGUGGUGGGUGACAGAUACCACAGUUCAAGCUGCUAACCUCUGGGAUAUGGAGGGUUAUGAUGAUCAGCUUCCACGCGUUGUGCCGCAAUUCCCUCUGGUGAGCAUGGAUGAUCCCAGCAUCAUAUAUUUUGUAUUGAAGGAUAGGCGCACAGUUUCUAGUGCAAGGGCAUGGGUGGUUGCUCUUAACAUAGAUAGCAGCAAGGUUUUAUGGUAUAAGGAUAUCAAAACCAUCCCUUCUGAUGAGGACACUGAAAUGGCCCCUGGCAACAUCUUCUGCAAUUUGCCAUUCUUUCCUGCUGAGUUCACCAAGCAUCUGCGGCAGGUUGCUGUCAGUCAGGUAGGUGAUCACUGGUUACACAUAUAAAAUAGUUAUUUUGUUCUUCCUUCCUAUUUAUUAAUAGAGACAAGUAAUUGGUCUUGUGCGCUCUGCACUGGUUGGUAAAUUGUUUAUCUACCUUUCUAGUUCUAAUAUUUGUAGAUGUAAUGAAAUUAAGUAUGAUCAUCCAUACUUUAAGUGCUAAUGAAUAAUAAUGUCUUUCGCGGCCUGUCUAGAAUGGAGUGUUCGUUAUCCAAAUCAAUAGGAUUUAAUACAAACUUGAAUGAAAUCUCACAUCUUGCCUAGCCACUUCAGUGUUUUUGUUUCUGUGAUCUGCUCAUAAUAUGGAAUUCCCGUGUUCCUCUGUUUUCUGUUUAGCAUUGCCAUUUGAAAGGAAACACUGAAUUCAAUAUACAUGUAUAUAUAAGCUCUUAGUACUAUUCCAAAGAUGUGUGCAAGCUUAAUUUUAUGAUUAUAUUACAUACUUAUACUACUACAACAAUAGCUGGACAAAGCCUUAGUUAGUCUUAUCUAUGGGAUCCUGUCUCUUACAGUAUGUUUGGAUUAAGUGAUAGGGGAGUGGGAUAUGGAUUGGGAUAGGUGACAAAGUAAUGCUAACAUUUCUCUUUUUUUUUUUUUUGAUUUGACGGAGGAGAGUUAUCCCAAUUUGACCUCUUACAUCUGUUUUGCAAAUUAGUUGUGGAAAAUGCAAAAUGCAUCUUCUGUCUCAUUUUGAAAAAAUGUUAUUAAUAAUCAUCUAGUUAGCUUUGUAAUAAGCAAUCAGCAUUGUAGGAAUAACAUUCUGCCCAUAUAUUUUGUUUCUAAAUUACGUUUAGAUUGGCCAACAACUCAUCAAACAAACUGUAGAAACCUGUACUUCCAUGUUUAUGUCCUUAUCAAAGGAAAAAUUUCUACUGCAGUAGUUUAUAGAAGCUUGCUGGUGGAGUCGGACACGAGUGCAUGUGUUUACUAUAAUUAUAUUCUAAAUUUGGUUGAAUUUGUUUGUCCUAGCUGUUACCUAGACAAUUGGUCAACGAUCAUUAAAAAAAAUGAUGAGUCCUUCCCAUCAUCCUCAUUUUUUCUCUGGCAGUUGUUUGAAUAUGAGAUUGCCUUGCCAAGCUGACUCAGUUUUCUUGUAUUUUGGCACCUUUUGAAAGCUAACACUUAUAUUACGUUUGCCUGAACGAUUGGAUUAGUUUUAGGAGUUGAAGACAAGUAUGUCAAGAAUGAAUUAGACUGAAUUUGUCAAUUUUACUUUAAUGUUUGUAACUGGCAAAUAAUUUGUUCUAUGGCGAUGCAUCAUCAUUCGAAAAUUAAAUUAGAAUGGGGGUCGAGUGGACGAGAGGAUUAGGCCAUUGGGUUGGUGUCGCGGUCCACCAACUGAGCGUCCAGACGAUCAGACGCCCUCAUCCUAGCAUUUCCGAUCUUGAUAACCAUGAAAAUGGAAAUCGUAGAGUUCUCGAGCCAAAGCUCACCGCUGUCGGGCGAUAACAUCGGCUUCAAGUACUGCAGAAAGAAAGACGACACAAGCCGUGUGUCGGGUAUGGGCUGCUAAUAGCUACUCGGCCAACUGGCACAUCGACAUGCGGUCCACUGGGGCUUCCUGACUCUGGGUCAAACUUGAAAUUCUGACUCUUCAAGAUUCUUGAAAUGUCAUCUCUUGUCGGAUCCGCCACCCACCCACCAGAUCCGCCACCCCACCUGUCGGUGGGAGCUCGUUGAAGGCGGGGGCAUCGGGUGGGAAGGAAGAAGCCGCCGCUGCUCAGGAAUGAGGGAGGGAGCUGCCGCAGCCACUCGGGAGGGAGCGAGCCGCCGUCGCUGCUUGGGAAGGAUGGCGUUGCCGCCCCUAGGAGGGAGGGAAGGAGCCGUUUGUGCAAGGGUAGUGGGAAAGAAACCCUAAGACACUGGUGUGUGUGUGUGUCUAUAUAUAUAUAUAUAUAUAUAUAUAUAUAUAUAUAUAUAUAUAUAUAUAUAUAUAUAUAUAUAUAUAUAUAUACACACACACAAAAUAACGCGAUAUCGGGUCGAAAUGAGCUGCCUGUUGGGCCACGAUUUUUUGAGGCGGUUGGCUUAAGAUGGCUGUCUUGGUAAAUCGAUUUUGUGAGAUGGUUUUUUUAAUCGACUUGAUUAAUAAAAAAUGCCAGUCUCAGUUUGAAAUCAAGGCAGUUGGAAAUGUUGCCUGUCUUCGAUGCCUUUUUUUCAAAAUUCUUCGCAAAAGAUUUUUUUUAGUAGUGUUACCGUUUGCUCGGGCGAUAUCUCCGCCUCAAUGCCAUCUAAGAAGAGGGAGUAAAUUAUUAGCCUUGCUCUUAGAUCUAUCUACCACUUUGUUAGCCCUGGUGCAGUUCUUCGACAAACUGACACAGUCGUUAGAUAGAGCUAGCCAAAGGUGAAAGGUGCGUGUAGGGGCUAUACAUGGCCAUGCAGCCCAUGGCCCAUGGCCCGGUCCGAGCACGACAUGGCCCAGCUCAAAGGACUAGACCGUGCCUAGGCCGCCACCUAGGCGCACGGCACGGCAUGGACAUGGGCCGUUUCAACGUCCGGCUCGAUGAAAAUAAAUUGUUGGUGUAGUUGUAACUUGCAUAUAUAUAUGUUGUUAAUUGUUAUACUGCUUAAAAUAAUGAACAAUUAGUGAAAAUAAUGAAAUAUUUCAGCAUUUAGUGAAAAUGUUGAUAAAAAAGAGUUGUUGUCAUCUUGAUGAGUCAUGUGCUGGCACGGCACAGCGUGCUUGACGAGCUGACAUGACACAAAAAUCGGCCUACGAGCCGUGACAUCACACAAAAAUCGGCCUGCGAGCCGUGCCUUGGGCGGAAGGCCAGGCACGAAGCUCGUAGAAGUAUGGUCCCCUAGACACGACGGCACAUAACGAUCCGACGAUCUACGGCACGGCACGACACGACGUCGUUGCGCCAGGGGUAUGCGAGAGCUCGCGCGCGCAUGGGCAAAUCUAUAUAGGCCAUACUGGAUGUGGGUGCACCUAUAAAUAUAUCAAAAAUAGUGAUUAUUGUUAAAUUUUCACUAUGUUCGCAUCCACAUAGUAAAAUCCUAUACAUCCACGGAACAAGCGCACUCAUAUUUGCUCUAGCUCCGCCACUGCGCGCACGGUCUGGUCUGCACAACCAGUCUUCUUGACUACUAUAAUAGUAUUCUUGACUCUUGAGGGUGUGUGUCGUCUUGCUCUUGCUACAGUUAUCUCCAAGGACUAUUGUGGCCCGUGCCUGGAUGUCCCGGUCAUGAAAUUGGAUGGAGGUUGAAAUUUGCUCUCAGGGGAGUCAAAGUGUCUUCGUCGCAUGAGCAGCUGUACACUGGUCGUAUGUGUUGCUGCUGCCCGCGUUUCUAUGGGGAGGGGAGGACCGUCCUGGACGCCGCCUCUGACCAUACUGCCAUCUCCCUUCCCGAAUUCGGGGUCCGGCCUUUGAAUUGAAGGCCUCGCUCCAUCGGUGACGCAUCAUCACGCCGUACUGUUUUCCGUAAGGUCGAUCGACUUCUAGCUACCAUAAUGGUAUGGUGAUCGAGUGAAUGCAUGUACUGACGCAAACGUGGUCUCCAAACUAAGGCAUUGUUUAGUUCACGCUAAAAACCAAAAACUUUUUAAGGUUCCGUCAUAUCGAAUUUUGUGGUAAAAAUAUAGAUGAAAAUAAAAACUAAUUGUACAGUUUGUCUGUAAAUCGCGAGACAAAUCUUUUAAGCCUAGUUACUCCAUAAUUAAACAAUAUUUGUCAAAUAAAAACAAAAGUGCUACAGUGUCAAAAUCCAAAUAAAUUUCGGAUCUAGACCUUGUUUAGUUCACCCCAAAAACAAAAAACUUUUCAAGAUUUUCCGUCACAUUGAAUCUUGCGGCAUACGCAUGAAGCAUUAAAUAUAGAUGAAAACAAAAACUAAUUGCACAGUUUGUCUGUAAAUCGUGAGACGAAUCUUUUAAGCUUAGUUGCUCUAUGAUUGGACAAUGCCAAAUAAAAAUGAAAGUGAUACAGUGUCAGAAUCCAAAAUGUUUUCGGAUCUAAACAAGGCCUAAGCUGGUAUGGUGAUCGAGUGAAUGGUAUGGAUUUUGACACUGUAGCACUUUUGUUUUUAUUUGAUAAACAUUAUCAAUCAUGGAGUAACUAGGGUUAAAAGAUUUGUCUCUCAAUUUACAGACAAACUGUGCAAUUAGUUUUUGUUUUUAUCUAUAUUUAUUGCUUUAUGCAUGUGCCGCAAGAUUCAAUGUGAUGGGGAUUCUUGAAAAAAUUUUAAUUUUUAGGUGAACUAAACGAGGCCUAAAUAUAGUUCAUCAAGACAAUUCGGAGAAGCACUGAUGAAGCAAUCACUUUUUUUUAAUCUGCAGAAGGUAUAUGUGGCAGAGCAGCAAUGAACUUGUGCCGCGCGCGUGCUGUUUUUCAAGAUUCUCCAUUACAAUCUUGCGGCACAUGUAUGAAACACUAAAUAUAGACAAAAAUAAAAAACUAAUUGCAGUAAAUCGCGAGAUGAAUUUUUUAAGCCUAGUUACUAUAUGAUUAAACAAUGCUGGUCAAAUAAAAGCAAAAGUGCUACAGUUUUCGAAAACCAAAAAAUUUUCAGAACUCCACAAUAAUAAAAAGCGGCAUCGGGUUGUGCUGCUGAACUGCAUAGGGGGCUGAUAACAUCUGCAGAUUUUUGUAGUAUAAAACACUGUUAUAAAUUAAGAAAUAUCAUGUCAUGUGAUCACAUUAAUCUUGAUAACCCUGAUAAUGUUGUCGGCUAGAUUUGACCCUCAACUCCUUCACAUAAUAAGGAGCAAAUGGCAUGUACACUGGCGAUCAAACUCCUAGGGAGGGUCAAACGGAGAGGAGGUACAUCACACAUUACUGUGUUAGUAAAACCUAUAGAUGUUCAACUGAUCAAUAAUGCAUGAUGCGUGUAUGGUCUUGGCGUUGUCUAAGAGCAAGACUAAUAAUAUAUACAGUCCACUUAUUAACCCACUUAUAUAUAUAUUAGUUGGCUCACCUAUAACCUACUUUUAUCUCAUAAAUUUUUUUAGCACUUGUACAUAAGUUGGCUGUAAACUUAUAACACAUUUCUCUAGCUCAGCAAAACUCAUCUACAGUACUUUAUUAUACUUCUAAUUCAACCUUGCGCAACUUUCCUUCAAUAUUUAUGCUCAUUGCUCAUUCACUCUCUCAAUUAGUUUUUUUAGGGGAACUCUCUUCCUCAAUUGGUGUAUCCUCCUUGGGGCUAGAAUUGGAGGAUCGGUCCUUCAAUAGGUUUGAAUUUAUGAUUUCAUAUCGGGCCAAUAUUCUUAAUUGGGCCGGAGGCUAGGAUAGAGCGGCGGGUUAUGCUCGGUUCACUAUUUCCCUAUCUUUUUUUUGUUUAUCUUUUCUUUUCUCUUAUUAUUUCUUUUUUUUUGUUUUCUAUCCUUGCUUCUAUUUAUUUUAUAUUUUUCAUUGUUUUUAUUUCUUUGGUUUUCAUUAUUCUUAUCAUUGUUUUCUUUUAUCUAUAUUUUACCAUAAUUACUUAUUUUCUUUAUUUCAUUUCAUUUCAUAUUUCAAUGUUUUGUUCCUUAUCAUUUUUUUUCUACUUAUAUUUACUUUCCCUAUUCUUGUAUGUUUUCUAUGGAUUUUUAUUAUUUCCAUUGUAGUUUCUUUACUCGGCAGACAAUUGCAUGUGUGUACAUUUGUGAUGUGUAUUCUGUAUCUUUAUGUGUUAUAUUAUAUCACGUACCAAAACAUUUGACUUUGCUUGACUAUAGAAACAAUUUUGUGUAUUGCGAUGUGUCUUUUGUAUUUUUGUGCGCUACAUCAUAAACCAACAUUUGGUUUUGCUUAAUUAUAGAAAUAAUUUAGGCAACUGUGAUGUGUCUUCUACAUUUGUGUGGGUUACAUCACAUACCAAAACAUUUGACUUUGUUUUUCUACUCCAUUCGUUCCAAAUUAUAAGUUGUUUUGACUUUUUUGAUACGUAGAAUUUGCUAUGGUGUAUAUAGACAUACAUUAUAUCUAGACAAACCUUUUUCGAUAAUCGGACAAAAGUUUUGUCAAACUAAUAAACCAACAUUUGGUUUUGCUUAAUUAUAGAAAUAAUUUAGGCAACCGUGAUGUGUCUUCUACAUUUGUGUGGGUUACAUCACAUACCAAAACAUUUGACUUUGUUUUUCUCUCCAUUCGUUCUAAAUUAUAAGUCGUUUUGACUUUUUUGAUACGUAGAAUUUGCUAUGGUGUAUAUAGACAUACAUUAUAUCUAGACAAACCUUUUUCGAUAAUCGGACAAAAGUUUUGUCAAACUAAUAAACCAACAUUUGGUUUUGCUUAAUUAUAGAAAUAAUUUAGGCAACCGUGAUGUGUCUUCUACAUUUGUGUGGGUUACAUCACAUACCAAAACAUUUGACUUUGUUUUUCUACUCCAUUCGUUCCAAAUUAUAAGUCGUUUUGACUUUUUUGAUACGUAGAAUUUGCUAUGGUGUAUAUAGACAUACAUUAUAUCUAGACAAACCUUUUUCGAUAAUCGGACAAAAGUUUUGUCAAACUACUACAUGUACUUCAUGAGGUCCCUUGUCGUGGUUGGAAUCCUUGGAAUGUUGCACGGAGGUCCUUCUGAGCUGGUCCCAUGAAAUGGAUGGAGAAAGGCUUCAAUAAAAUAUACCAGUCAUGUACCAUUAUGAUUGAUUUUGCCAGUGCUAGGUUAUCGCCUCCUAAGAUAAUCAUUGUCACAUUUGUUUUUGUAGCUUCUCGAUUUCUUGCUUGUGUGCUUCUAGUUUUGCCAAGGCUUGGUUUUUGUUGGUUUCUUGCAUGUCUUCACUCUCAAAGCUAGGCGUCAUCUUCGUCUCUAAAUGUGUCAUAACUGAGGUACCAUUCGAGUAAAUCUCCCAUUGGGUAUGCUUCCUUGUCUAUCUCCAUGCCAUGCGAGCCUUUAGGGUUGGGUGGGAUAGUUGCGUUUUUCUUUCAUCUUGCUCUUUGGAUGGGGGUAGGAGCAUUGGAAAGUUCGCAAUAACCAUAGGUGGAUGCAUCUUCAACAUCUUAAAGGCCGAUGACUUCACAUCUUCAGCACCCAUUCGGAGACAACUUUGCAUUCCCCAUGUGACCUCAUGCCUUCGGGCUUUUCGAAAACAGCUUUGCCAAACCACGUACAACUCUCUAGAUUUGGCUAGAUGCCUUAAAUUUUGAAGAUGGCUUCACUAAACCCUUUGGUUGUCCCAUGGAUGGUGUCACUUACCUGCGCGACAUGUGAAUGACCCUAUUUUGUUAAGAGAACUACGGAGGGGAGAGAUUCUCUACCUGGAAAUGUGUGAAUGUCCUGUGAAAUGACAUCUUUUGUAUAUGUCAAAGGUUAAUAAGAAACUAAUAUGUGAAUUAGUGAAGAGAGGAUGCCCAGUGAAGGAUAUAGACAUGCCCCAGCAGGUAUUAUUUGAAAAACAUAUGUGUGAACAAAGAAACAUAUAGUUUAUGCUGUAACUAUUUAAAUUUUAUAAGAGAUAUAGCGUAACCUCUUCAGUCUUCACUUCACUCGACCAAGUAACUGAAUGAACAUUGUUGGUAAAAGCUUGAAACAAAAACAGAGAGACCAACCAUGUGAUAUAUUUAAACCAAAGGGGCAUAUGAGAUAGCAGCGGCUCUCUCGUAAACGGUGACUUAUCACUUUCGUUUUUAUUUGUUAAUUAUUAUCUAAUUGUAAACUAACUAAAUUUAAAAGAUUCGUCUCGCAAAUUACAGGUAAACUAUAUAAUUAAUUAUUCUUUUAUUUAUAUUUAAUGUUCUAUGUAUGUGCCCAAAAAUUUCGAUGUAAUAGAGAAUCUUAAAAAAAAUUUAGAUUUUAGUGUAAAACCUAUACACGCCAUUAUCAACAAAAUACUACAGAGCAGAGACAGCUUAUUAGCAUAUGGCAUGC
This 12068-nucleotide long non-coding RNA is filed under the name Sorghum bicolor (sorghum). RNAcentral describes it as "long non-coding RNA (SBIC_LNC016635)". Lineage: Eukaryota; Viridiplantae; Streptophyta; Magnoliopsida; Poales; Poaceae. The record is from RNAcentral.